Molecule: ribosomal RNA, 1260 nt
Filed under: Bacillus safensis
Lineage: Bacteria; Bacillati; Bacillota; Bacilli; Caryophanales; Bacillaceae
Description: bacterial SSU rRNA
Rfam family: Bacterial small subunit ribosomal RNA
Source: RNAcentral
GCGGCGGACGGGUGAGUAACACGUGGGUAACCGCCUGUAAGACUGGGAUAACUCCGGGAAACCGGAGCUAAUACCGGAUAGUUCCUGAACCGCAUGGUUCAAGGAUGAAAGACGGUUUCGGCUGUCACUUACAGAUGGACCCGCGGCGCAUUAGCUAGUUGGUGGGGUAAUGGCUCACCAAGGCGACGAUGCGUAGCCGACCUGAGAGGGUGAUCGGCCACACUGGGACUGAGACACGGCCCAGACUCCUACGGGAGGCAGCAGUAGGGAAUCUUCCGCAAUGGACGAAAGUCUGACGGAGCAACGCCGCGUGAGUGAUGAAGGUUUUCGGAUCGUAAAGCUCUGUUGUUAGGGAAGAACAAGUGCGAGAGUAACUGCUCGCACCUUGACGGUACCUAACCAGAAAGCCACGGCUAACUACGUGCCAGCAGCCGCGGUAAUACGUAGGUGGCAAGCGUUGUCCGGAAUUAUUGGGCGUAAAGGGCUCGCAGGCGGUUUCUUAAGUCUGAUGUGAAAGCCCCCGGCUCAACCGGGGAGGGUCAUUGGAAACUGGGAAACUUGAGUGCAGAAGAGGAGAGUGGAAUUCCACGUGUAGCGGUGAAAUGCGUAGAGAUGUGGAGGAACACCAGUGGCGAAGGCGACUCUCUGGUCUGUAACUGACGCUGAGGAGCGAAAGCGUGGGGAGCGAACAGGAUUAGAUACCCUGGUAGUCCACGCCGUAAACGUUGAGUGCUAAGUGUUAGGGGGUUUCCGCCCCUUAGUGCUGCAGCUAACGCAUUAAGCACUCCGCCUGGGGAGUACGGUCGCAAGACUGAAACUCAAAGGAAUUGACGGGGGCCCGCACAAGCGGUGGAGCAUGUGGUUUAAUUCGAAGCAACGCGAAGAACCUUACCAGGUCUUGACAUCCUCUGACAACCCUAGAGAUAGGGCUUUCCCUUCGGGGACAGAGUGACAGGUGGUGCAUGGUUGUCGUCAGCUCGUGUCGUGAGAUGUUGGGUUAAGUCCCGCAACGAGCGCAACCCUUGAUCUUAGUUGCCAGCAUUCAGUUGGGCACUCUAAGGUGACUGCCGGUGACAAACCGGAGGAAGGUGGGGAUGACGUCAAAUCAUCAUGCCCCUUAUGACCUGGGCUACACACGUGCUACAAUGGACAGAACAAAGGGCUGCAAGACCGCAGGUUUAGCCAAUCCCAUAAAUCUGUUCUCAGUUCGGAUCGCAGUCUGCAACUCGACUGCGUGAAGCUGGAAUCGCUAGUAAUCGC